This is a long non-coding RNA of Trachemys scripta elegans, 2334 nucleotides long. RefSeq lists it as uncharacterized. The record is from RefSeq and is a predicted model, not a curated record. Lineage: Eukaryota; Metazoa; Chordata; Testudines; Emydidae. The transcript is spliced from 3 exons.
AAGGGGGUCCCGCCGCUUGCACACUCACCUGUAGCACCUGUCCUCCCCUUUGCACACUCACCAGUAGCCCCUGUCUGCCCCCUUUGCACACUCAUCUGUAGCGCCUGUCCCCCCCUUUGCACACUCACCCGUAGCCCCUACCCGCCCCUUUGCACACUCACCUGUAAGAGCUGCUUCCACUUCUCUUCCACGCGUACUUGCAAGAGGUGCCUUUCCCCGUGCACGCUCACCUCCAGAAGCUGCUCUUUCCCCCUGUCUUGCACACUCACCUGCAGCACAUGCCCCUCCCUCUUGCACACUCACCCACGGGGGCUGCCCUUCCCCCUCUUUCUGCAGGAGCUGCCUUCUCUCCCUUGCACACACACUCCCAGAGAGAGGCCAUGGGCUCACAAGCUUCAUAUAUUAGAUGCAUAGAAUUUCUGCUCCAUGAUGUGACUUUCCCUUGAAUUUUCUUUAAUUGUAAUAAUUUAUUUUGUAUGAGAGCUGGGAUGAGUGAACUGCAAUGCCUCCAUCUUUCUGGAAAUUUACAAAGCCAGCACAGAGUUGGGUCUCUUUUGUUGUUUGGAAAGUCAAGCACCUCAGGUGAUGUUAGACUGUGGAGUCUAUACACAACUCCUGCAAGCCCAGCUCCUUGGUGUCAGUUUAGACCCUCCAUGUUUCAUUCUGAAUUUUGGGUUCAACAGAAAACAAAAACUCAAAGAGAAACUCAACCAAAACUUCCAAAUUUUGCUUGAUUGUGAGUUGAAACUAUGAGUUUAGCAUGGCUUCCACCUGCAGCUGUAAAUGGGACCCAGGCCAACUUGAGACUUGAUCAGAGCUGGUGAACUUCAGCACAUGUUUCAGUGAGUCAGAGUUUCAACUUUAUACACACCUCCACUCUGAACUCAGGUGAGUUUUGCCUUGCUUGGACUUUAAGAUCAUUUUGCACAUUUUCAGUUGUGGCCACAGCAUUGUCAUUGCUCCUUUGCUAUUACAAGUAACAUUUCCGCAUUAUUUUUCCUGCCUUCAGUUUCGAUUGUCAGCUCCUCAGGGCAAAGAGUAAAUCAGGGUAAAUCAGGAGUUACCUACUCAAGUCAAUGGAGUUACACUAGUGAAAAAUGAAUGUGAUCUGUAAUAAAAUAAUAAGUGUGCAUUCUGCCUUGCCAGCUAUUUAAACAAGCCACACCAAAAAAUGUGCAAAUAAAUAAACAAUGCCACACGCUACAACAAAUUUAUAUUCCAGAUGCCUUCAAGACUUCUUAGAAAAGACCACAUGUGUUUUUCUAAAAACAUUUCUUUUGGCAGUUUGUUCCUGGAAGACCAGGGGCCUGAGAUGGCACAGGGGCUAAAUGAACAACUCCUGUGGUGAUAGUUACAAGGUUAGCUGCUGUUGUAAAGAUUUCUAGGGCGCUUGGCAAAAUAACAGAACAAAAUGUUAUUGAAUUAGGUCUCAGAUAAUUUUUGAGUGAUUUUGUUCUCAAGAGACAAAAUAUAUCACAAGUUAUUCGGCUCUUCCUAUCAUGCACAAAUAUAAAGUCCGUUAAUACUAGACCUUUGGGUCCAGACUUUCUCAAGGCCAGAUAUAUAUAUGUGUGUCCAUUUAGUUUCAGCCCUGUAAACAUUCCAGUCACUGUUCUAAAUGCUGGAGGGAUUUCAGAAAUGCUUCUUCCACUGUGUACUGGAAGGCUAAAAACAGAGGGCCAUAUUGUACCAUUGGUUUUUAAGCAGAACUCCCUAGGCGUUUUUUAGGUUCCACAAGAAUUGUGGUUAAAAAUGGUGGUACACACAGCUUUCUAUAUAACCUAAGAAUUAGGAGCCUGAUCAUCAGUUUGUGUAAAUCAGCAGUGGUGUGAUGCUGAAGAUGUGGUUCCUACACCAGAGUAAAUAUGUUGAUGCGGAGGAUAGGAGCAUAUUGUAACUUCGCUUGGGGCUUGUCUGCGCUACCAUUUACAUCAGCAAAAUUGAUGUCACUCGGGGUGUGGAAAAAACACCCGAGUGACAAGUUUCGCCAGCUGAGUCCUUGUGUGGUCCAUCACGGCAUAACUCACUAGUAGAUUUUUUUUUUUUUUUUUUUUUUGAGCGACUCAAUGGAUAGCAGGUUGGUAUCACUACUGUUGCAGGCUCAGUGGAAAUCUGGCUUGGAAUCACACACGGCCAACAUUGGAGCUAUAGAAUCUCUAUAAUUUAGGCCUCGUCCACACACACAAGUUGCCCUGCUUUAAAUAUGCUGGUAUUGUUAAAGCAGUACAAUCUCCCCCUAAGGGUGGACACGGGUAUGUGGGUAUAAAAGGAUUUAUACUGGUAUAGCUAUUGCUAUAUGGAAAGGGGAAUAAGCUAUACUGGUAUAAGGCAUCU